GAUGAACGCUGGCGGCGUGCCUAAUACAUGCAAGUCGAGCGAACAGACGAGGAGCUUGCUCCUCUGACGUUAGCGGCGGACGGGUGAGUAACACGCAGAUAACCUACCUAUAAGACUGGGAUAACUUCGGGAAACCGGAGCUAAUACCGGAUAAUAUAUUGAACCGCAUGGUUCAAUAGUGAAAGACGGUUUUGCUGUCACUUAUAGAUGGAUCCGCGCCGCAUUAGCUAGUUGGUAAGGUAACGGCUUACCAAGGCAACGAUGCGUAGCCGACCUGAGAGGGUGAUCGGCCACACUGGAACUGAGACACGGUCCAGACUCCUACGGGAGGCAGCAGUAGGGAAUCUUCCGCAAUGGGCGAAAGCCUGACGGAGCAACGCCGCGUGAGUGAUGAAGGUCUUCGGAUCGUAAAACUCUGUUAUUAGGGAAGAACAAAUGUGUAAGUAACUAUGCACGUCUUGACGGUACCUAAUCAGAAAGCCACGGCUAACUACGUG
RNAcentral lists this ribosomal RNA (497 nucleotides) under uncultured bacterium. RNAcentral's name for it is "partial 16S ribosomal RNA". It matches the Rfam family "Bacterial small subunit ribosomal RNA", at positions 28 to 507 of the family's 1533-position model. The record is from RNAcentral.